GGAAGGAAGGCCAAAAAAAGGACUAGCACCAAAAGGGUGAGGCCCCAGGGGACGAAGAGGAUUGACGGAAUCAAAAUGCAUGUACUGUCCUACGUGGUGUCCCGUCCUGAACAGACAGAUGAGGAUGAUGGGAUCUGUAACACUCAGUUGUACCGUAAUAUGGUACGGAUUCAUGUUGUUUUUCUGCUUACGUGUGUGUAAGAUACUCAUAUUAUCACGACCUACCAAGGAGCAUCUGGAGUCACGAUAAAGAAGAUGAAUGCGUAUAUACUUUCUUUGUCUCCGGAUUGGCUGAACUAUGGACAAAUGACAUUAUAAAGACAGUUCUCUUAUCUGAUCACAUAACAUAUACCCAGGAGAAAUCAUGUGACCUGCUGUGUGUUAAUGCGGGUUCCAUUGUAAUCCUGCCUAAUUAAUAAUAAUUUCUCUUUCAUUUGGUCCAACUGUUUCACGUUAUCUUUGCUUUAUCCAACCUUUUUCCUUCCAAUCCACGACAUAUAUGGGAAUUUACGAGCGUGUAACUGGGUCUUCAAUCCGUGUAAUAAUGGCGCAAAGUGUGAAGUAAAGAGAUCUUGUACCAGAUGUGAUCAGAUCUCUAGGGAUUUUAUACCCCGGGGAGGACAAAGAAAAGGAAAAGAAUUACACCGAUGUUUACUGAACCCGGGGGACGCUGACAUAUUGACGACUUCUCAUAUAGAAAAAUGGAUUUUAUGAUCUGAGACCGAAAAUAGACGUCAAGACGGGAAACGCUGGUCUAGGGUUUGUGAUAAAUAAAAGUAUCUGC
Molecule: long non-coding RNA, 784 nt
Organism: Hyla sarda
Lineage: Eukaryota; Metazoa; Chordata; Amphibia; Anura; Hylidae
Exons: 3
Source: RefSeq, a predicted model, not a curated record